RNAcentral lists this unclassified non-coding RNA (349 nucleotides) under Hevea brasiliensis (rubber tree). The record is from RNAcentral. Lineage: Eukaryota; Viridiplantae; Streptophyta; Magnoliopsida; Malpighiales; Euphorbiaceae.
ACCGAACCUCUCACAAACUGUCAACAUAGCAACUAAGAUCCAAUAUUGGCACCAAAAGCGGAGUUGCUGAAUAUCUGGUUUGUUCAUCUCCACAGUUUUGAAGCAUUCAUAAGCUGGAUAAGCAUAACCAAAAACCAUCACAAGCACUCUGGUGAUAAAAGAUCCAAUCAUCUUGAAUUCCUUUUGCUGAUCAAUCCAAAGCAAACACCGGCGAACUGACUAGAAAAUCCGGCGAAUUGGCCGUUAGUUAGAGCAAAGCAGGCAAGUAAACAGUUUUUUAGAAGUUGGUGGCACCACCGCAGUUCUCCGGCGAACCGUUGCGAUGUUGGCGAGAAGAGGUGUGUGAAAG